GACGAACGCUGGCGGCGUGCCUAACACAUGCAAGUCGAACGGAAAGGCCCUGCUCGUAGGGUACUCGAGUGGCGAACGGGUGAGUAACUCGCGGGUGGGCUGCCCUCCACUUCGGGAUAAGCCAGGGAAACUGGGUCUAGCUCCUGCCAGGUGCCAACUUUAGUGUGAUGGUUGGAAAGUUUAUUAGGUGUUGGCUGAGCUCGCGGCCUAUCGGCUUGUUGGUUGGGUAAUGGCCUACCAAGGCGGCGACGGGUAGCCGGCCUGAGAGGGUGGACGGCCACAUUGGGACUGAGAGACGGACCAGAAUCGUACGGGAGGCAGUGGUGGGGAGUCUGGCCCAAUGAGCGCGAGCCAGAUGCGGAGGCGCCGCGAGGGGGAAGACGUGCUUCGGGUUGAAAACUCCUUUCGCUGGGGACGAAGCAUUUUGUGACGGUACCUAGAUAAGAAGCACCGGCUAACUACGUG
This 465-nucleotide ribosomal RNA is filed under the name uncultured bacterium. Its description in RNAcentral is "partial 16S ribosomal RNA". It matches the Rfam family "Bacterial small subunit ribosomal RNA", at positions 28 to 507 of the family's 1533-position model. The record is from RNAcentral.